UGUGCACAUUGUUCGAGCUUAGAGUUGAGGCCACUGGCCAGUGAACUCACUAGUGUAGGUAGUGUGCUACGUGAGGGGUAAUUGUUUUGCUAACACCACAGGGGUCUCUGGCCUAAUGAGUGAAGUUUGAUAGUAUUCUUUGCUACAAUA
This is a small nucleolar RNA of Prolemur simus (greater bamboo lemur), 150 nucleotides long. NCBI's taxonomy places the organism in Eukaryota, Metazoa, Chordata, Mammalia, Primates, Lemuridae. The record is from Ensembl.